UGGGGAAUAUUGCGCAAUGGGCGAAAGCCUGACGCAGCCACGCCGCGUGCAGGAAGACACCCCUACGGGGCGUAAACUGCUUUUAUAUGGAAAGAACACCCUGUUCGGCAGGGUCUGACGGUACCAUAUGAAUAAGCACCGGCUAACUCCGUGCCAGCAGCCGCGGUAAUACGGAGGGUGCAAGCGUUGUCCGGAAUCACUGGGUGUAAAGGGUGUGUAGGUGGGGCUGUAAGUCAGAGGUGAAAGCCCACGGCUUAACCGUGGAACUGCCUUUGAUACUGCAGCUCUUGAGUCCUGGAGAGGUUGCUAGAAUUCGUGGUGUAGCGGUGAAAUGCGUAGAUAUCACGAGGAAUACCGGAGGCGUAGGCGGGCAACUGGACAGGUACUGACACUGAGGCACGAAAGCGUGGGGAGCAAACAGGAUUAGAUACCCCCGUAGUCC
This 442-nucleotide ribosomal RNA is filed under the name uncultured prokaryote. Its description in RNAcentral is "bacterial SSU rRNA". It matches the Rfam family "Bacterial small subunit ribosomal RNA", at positions 355 to 796 of the family's 1533-position model. The record is from RNAcentral.